RNAcentral lists this ribosomal RNA (301 nucleotides) under uncultured bacterium. Its description in RNAcentral is "partial 16S ribosomal RNA". It matches the Rfam family "Bacterial small subunit ribosomal RNA", at positions 509 to 809 of the family's 1533-position model. The record is from RNAcentral.
CAGCAGCCGCGGUAACACGAAGGGGGCUAGCGUUGUUCGGAAUUACUGGGCGUAAAGCGCACGUAGGCGGAUAUUUAAGUCAGGGGUGAAAUCCCGCAGCUCAACUGCGGAACUGCCUUUGAUACUGGGUAUCUUGAGUAUGGAAGAGGUUAGUGGAAUUGCGAGUGUAGAGGUGAAAUUCGUAGAUAUUCGCAGGAACACCAGUGGCGAAGGCGGCUAACUGGUCCAUAACUGACGCUGAGGUGCGAAAGCGUGGGGAGCAAACGGGAUUAGAUACCCCAGUAGUCCCUGUCUCUUAUAA